GAUGAACGCUGGCGGCGUGCCUAAUACAUGCAAGUCGAGCGAACGGACGAGAAGCUUGCUUCUCUGAUGUUAGCGGCGGACGGGUGAGUAACACGUGGAUAGCCUACCUAUAAGACUGGGAUAACUUCGGGAAACCGUAGCUAAUACCGGAUAAUAUUUUGAACCGCAUGGUUCAAUAGUGAAAGACGGUCUUGCUGUCACUUAUAGAUGGAUCCGCGCUGCAUUAGCUAGUUGGUAAGGUAACGGCUUACCAAGGCAACGAUGCAUAGCCGACCUGAGAGGGUGAUCGGCCACACUGGAACUGAGACACGGUCCAGACUCCUACGGGAGGCAGCAGUAGGGAAUCUUCCGCAAUGGGCGAAAGCCUGACGGAGCAACGCCGCGUGAGUGAUGAAGGUCUUCGGAUCGUAAAACUCUGUUAUUAGGGAAGAACAAAUGUGUAAGUAACUAUGCACAUCUUGACGGUACCUAAUCAGAAAGCCACGGCUAACUACGUG
RNAcentral lists this ribosomal RNA (497 nucleotides) under uncultured bacterium. RNAcentral describes it as "partial 16S ribosomal RNA". It matches the Rfam family "Bacterial small subunit ribosomal RNA", at positions 28 to 507 of the family's 1533-position model. The record is from RNAcentral.